This is a non-coding RNA of Cydia strobilella, 72 nucleotides long. The record is from the annotation of a RefSeq genome assembly. NCBI's taxonomy places the organism in Eukaryota, Metazoa, Arthropoda, Insecta, Lepidoptera, Tortricidae.
GCCUCGGUAGCUUAGUUGGUAGAGCGGCGGGCUGAUAUCCCAGAGUCGCAAGUUCGAGUCUCGCCCGAGACA